Molecule: unclassified non-coding RNA, 345 nt
Filed under: soil metagenome
Description: partial contains 5.8S ribosomal RNA, internal transcribed spacer 2, and large subunit ribosomal RNA
Rfam family: 5.8S ribosomal RNA (bases 1-121)
Source: RNAcentral
GAUGAAGAACGCAGCUAAAUGCGAUAAGUAAUGCGAAUUGCAGAAUUUCCGUGAGUCAUCGAAUCUUUGAACGCACAUUGCGCCCACUGGUAUUCCGGUGGGCAUGCCUGUUCGAGCGUCAUUAUCCUCCCUCAAACCCCGGGUUUGGUGUUGGACCCAAGUUGUGUGAACAACUGGUCUCAAAGACAAUGACGGCGUCCGUGGGACCCUCGGUGCAACGAGCUUUUAGGAGCACGCAUCGAGUUGCAAGGACCUUCCGGGCCGGUCUCCUUUACCAUUUUACAAGGUUGACCUCGGAUCAGGUAGGAAUACCCGCUGAACUUAAGCAUAUCAAUAAGCGGAGGA